RNAcentral lists this ribosomal RNA (281 nucleotides) under uncultured bacterium. RNAcentral's name for it is "partial 16S ribosomal RNA". It matches the Rfam family "Bacterial small subunit ribosomal RNA", at positions 333 to 606 of the family's 1533-position model. The record is from RNAcentral.
UAUCGCCUACGGGGCGCAGCAGUAGGGAAUCUUCCACAAUGGGCGCAAGCCUGAUGGAGCAACACCGCGUGAGUGAAGAAGGGUUUCGGCUCGUAAAGCUCUGUUGUUGGAGAAGAACGUGCGUGAGAGUAACUGUUCACGCAGUGACGGUAUCCAACCAGAAAGUCACGGCUAACUACGUGCCAGCAGCCGCGGUAAUACGUAGGGGGCAAGCGUUAUCCGGAAUUACUGGGGGUAAAGGGAGAGUAGGCGGCAAGGGAAGCGAUAUGGGAAAGCCUUAA